This 2901-nucleotide ribosomal RNA is filed under the name Klebsiella pneumoniae. RNAcentral describes it as "23S ribosomal RNA". It matches the Rfam family "Bacterial large subunit ribosomal RNA". The record is from RNAcentral. Lineage: Bacteria; Pseudomonadati; Pseudomonadota; Gammaproteobacteria; Enterobacterales; Enterobacteriaceae.
GGUUAAGCGACUAAGCGUACACGGUGGAUGCCCUGGCAGUCAGAGGCGAUGAAGGACGUGCUAAUCUGCGAAAAGCGUCGGUAAGGUGAUAUGAACCGUUAUAACCGGCGAUGUCCGAAUGGGGAAACCCAGUGCAAUUCGUUGCACUAUCGUUAACUGAAUACAUAGGUUAACGAGGCGAACCGGGGGAACUGAAACAUCUAAGUACCCCGAGGAAAAGAAAUCAACCGAGAUUCCCCCAGUAGCGGCGAGCGAACGGGGAGCAGCCCAGAGUCUGAAUCAGCUUGUGUGUUAGUGGAACGGUCUGGAAAGUCCGACGGUACAGGGUGAUAGUCCCGUACACCAAAAUGCACAGGCUGUGAACUCGAAGAGUAGGGCGGGACACGUGGUAUCCUGUCUGAAUAUGGGGGGACCAUCCUCCAAGGCUAAAUACUCCUGACUGACCGAUAGUGAACCAGUACCGUGAGGGAAAGGCGAAAAGAACCCCGGCGAGGGGAGUGAAAAAGAACCUGAAACCGUGUACGUACAAGCAGUGGGAGCACCUUCGGGUGUGACUGCGUCCCUUUGUAUAAUGGGUCAGCGACUUAUAUUCUGUAGCAAGGUUAACCGUAUAGGGGAGCCGCAGGGAAACCGAGUCUUAACUGGGCGUUAAGUUGCAGGGUAUAGACCCGAAACCCGGUGAUCUAGCCAUGGGCAGGUUGAAGGUUGGGUAACACUAACUGGAGGACCGAACCGACUAAUGUUGAAAAAUUAGCGGAUGACUAGUGCCUGUGCGUGAAAGGCCAAUCAAACCGGGAGAUAGCUGGUUCUCCCCGAAAGCUAUUUAGGUAGCGCCUCGUGAACUCAUCUUCGGGGGUAGAGCACUGUUUCGGCUAGGGGGUCAUCCCGACUUACCAACCCGAUGCAAACUACGAAUACCGAAGAAUGUUAUCACGGGAGACACACGGCGGGUGCUAACGUCCGUCGUGAAGAGGGAAACAACCCAGACCGCCAGCUAAGGUCCCAAAGUCAUGGUUAAGUGGGAAACGAUGUGGGAAGGCACAGACAGCCAGGAUGUUGGCUUAGAAGCAGCCAUCAUUUAAAGAAAGCGUAAUAGCUCACUGGUCGAGUCGGCCUGCGCGGAAGAUGUAACGGGGCUAAACCAUGCACCGAAGCUGCGGCAGCGACACUAUGUGUUGUUGGGUAGGGGAGCGUUCUGUAAGCCUGCGAAGGUGUGCUGUGAGGCAUGCUGGAGGUAUCAGAAGUGCGAAUGCUGACAUAAGUAACGAUAAAGCGGGUGAAAAGCCCGCUCGCCGGAAGACCAAGGGUUCCUGUCCAACGUUAAUCGGGGCAGGGUGAGUCGACCCCUAAGGCGAGGCCGAAAGGCGUAGUCGAUGGGAAACAGGUUAAUAUUCCUGUACUUGGUGUUACUGCGAAGGGGGGACGGAGAAGGCUAUGUUAGCCGGGCGACGGUUGUCCCGGUUUAAGCAUGUAGGCUGAUUGUCCAGGCAAAUCCGGAUAAUCAAGGCUGAGGUGUGAUGACGAGGCACUACGGUGCUGAAGUAACAAAUGCCCUGCUUCCAGGAAAAGCCUCUAAGCAUCAGGUAACAUUAAAUCGUACCCCAAACCGACACAGGUGGUCAGGUAGAGAAUACCAAGGCGCUUGAGAGAACUCGGGUGAAGGAACUAGGCAAAAUGGUGCCGUAACUUCGGGAGAAGGCACGCUGGUGUGUAGGUGAAGUCCCUGCGGAUGGAGCUGAGACCAGUCGAAGAUACCAGCUGGCUGCAACUGUUUAUUAAAAACACAGCACUGUGCAAACACGAAAGUGGACGUAUACGGUGUGACGCCUGCCCGGUGCCGGAAGGUUAAUUGAUGGGGUUAUCCGUAAGGAGAAGCUCUUGAUCGAAGCCCCGGUAAACGGCGGCCGUAACUAUAACGGUCCUAAGGUAGCGAAAUUCCUUGUCGGGUAAGUUCCGACCUGCACGAAUGGCGUAAUGAUGGCCAGGCUGUCUCCACCCGAGACUCAGUGAAAUUGAACUCGCUGUGAAGAUGCAGUGUACCCGCGGCAAGACGGAAAGACCCCGUGAACCUUUACUAUAGCUUGACACUGAACAUUGAGCCUUGAUGUGUAGGAUAGGUGGGAGGCUUUGAAGCGUGGACGCCAGUCUGCGUGGAGCCAACCUUGAAAUACCACCCUUUAAUGUUUGAUGUUCUAACGUUGGCCCCUGACCGGGGUUGCGGACAGUGUCUGGUGGGUAGUUUGACUGGGGCGGUCUCCUCCCAAAGCGUAACGGAGGAGCACGAAGGUUAGCUAAUCCUGGUCGGACAUCAGGAGGUUAGUGCAAUGGCAUAAGCUAGCUUGACUGCGAGCGUGACGGCGCGAGCAGGUGCGAAAGCAGGUCAUAGUGAUCCGGUGGUUCUGAAUGGAAGGGCCAUCGCUCAACGGAUAAAAGGUACUCCGGGGAUAACAGGCUGAUACCGCCCAAGAGUUCAUAUCGACGGCGGUGUUUGGCACCUCGAUGUCGGCUCAUCACAUCCUGGGGCUGAAGUAGGUCCCAAGGGUAUGGCUGUUCGCCAUUUAAAGUGGUACGCGAGCUGGGUUUAGAACGUCGUGAGACAGUUCGGUCCCUAUCUGCCGUGGGCGCUGGAGAAUUGAGGGGGGCUGCUCCUAGUACGAGAGGACCGGAGUGGACGCAUCACUGGUGUUCGGGUUGUCAUGCCAAUGGCACUGCCCGGUAGCUAAAUGCGGAAGAGAUAAGUGCUGAAAGCAUCUAAGCACGAAACUUGCCCCGAGAUGAGUUCUCCCUGAGACUUUAAGUCUCCUGAAGGAACGUUAAAGACGAUGACGUUGAUAGGCCGGGUGUGUAAGCGCAGCGAUGCGUUGAGCUAACCGGUACUAAUGAACCGUGAGGCUUAACCUU